AACACGUUCCUUAGAUCCACCUCUGGGACCCCUUGCUGUCUCCACCUCUUCCGUUUUUCCCCGUUCUGCCCUGGCGCCCAUCGGGGAACCCCGCUGGGGUCCGCCUGAUGUGCGCCUGUGCAGGGCGGGGAGUUGCGGUGGUUGUGGCGCCCAGCCCUGGGUCCACCAACUUUUUCGGUUGCACGGUCGGAGGUGCAUGAGUCAUUGGCGUGUGAGAGCAAUAUACCUGCGCACUGGUCCGAUUCGGGCCCAGCGGCAGCCUAC
Small nucleolar RNA from Petromyzon marinus (sea lamprey), 264 nucleotides. RefSeq annotates it as small nucleolar RNA SNORA53. The record is from RefSeq and is a predicted model, not a curated record. NCBI's taxonomy places the organism in Eukaryota, Metazoa, Chordata, Hyperoartia, Petromyzontiformes, Petromyzontidae.